This 1496-nucleotide ribosomal RNA is filed under the name metagenome. Its description in RNAcentral is "bacterial SSU rRNA". It matches the Rfam family "Bacterial small subunit ribosomal RNA". The record is from RNAcentral.
AGAGUUUGAUCCUGGCUCAGAACGAACGCUAGCGGCGCGUUUCAGGCAUGCAAGUUGAACGGUAACAGGGGAGCUUGCUCCCGCUGACGAGUGGCGCACGGGUGAGUAACGCGUAGGUAAACUAUCCUAAAGUCUGGUAUAGCUCUACGAAAGUAGGAUUAAUCCCGGAUAGUUUGUAAUUAACUUAAGUUUUUUACAAUAAAGCUUCGGUGCUUUAGGAUGUGCCUGCGUUAGAUUAGCUCGUUGGUGAGGUAACAGCUCACCAAGGCUUUGAUCUAUAGCCGAGCUGAGAGGCUGAUCGGCCACAUUGGAACUGAGACACGGUCCAGACUCCUACGGGAGGCAGCAGCUAAGAAUCUUCCGCAAUGGUCUUAUGACUGACGGAGCGACGCCGCGUGAAUGAUGAAGGCCUUUUGGGUUGUAAAAUUCUUUUAUGAGGGAUGAAAGUUUAAUUUUGAUUAUUCUGACAGUACCUUGUGAAUAAGGUCCGGCUAACUACGUGCCAGCAGCCGCGGUAAUACGUAGGGACCUAGCGUUGUUCGGAUUUACUGGGCGUAAAGGGUACGCAGGCGGUUAAAUAAGUCAGAUGUGAAAUACCCGGGCUUAACCUUGGUGCUGCGUCUGAUACUGUUUAACUAGAGUUACUGAGAGGAAAGCGGAAUUCUUGGUGUAGGGGUGAAAUCUAUAGAUAUCAAGAAGAACAUCUGUAGCGAAGGCGGCUUUCUGGCAGUCAACUGACGCUCAUGUACGAAAGGUAGGGUAGCAAACAGGAUUAGAGACCCUGGUAGUCCUACCUGUAAACGUUGUAUACUAGGUGGUGGGAGUAUUGAUCCUUUCACUGCCGGAGCUAACGCAUUAAGUAUACCGCCUGGGGAGUAUGCCGGCAACGGUGAAACUCAAAGGAAUUGACGGGGGCCCGCACAAGCAGUGGAGCAUGUUGUUUAAUUCGAUGAUACGCGAGAAACCUUACCAGGUCUUGACAUAUACUUGACGACUGUAGAGAUACAGUUUCUCUUCGGAGCGAGUAUACAGGUGCUGCAUGGUUGUCGUCAGCUCGUGCCGUGAGGUGUUGGGUUAAGUCCCGCAACGAGCGCAACCCCUAUCCUUUGUUGCUAACAGUUCGGCUGAGCACUCGAUGGAAACUGCCGGUGACAAACCGGAGGAAGGUGGGGACGACGUCAAAUCAUCACGGCCCUUAUGACCUGGGCUACAAACGUGCUACAAUGGAUGGUACAGCGAGUUGCGAGACCGUGAGGUGUAGCUAAUCUCUUAAAACCAUCCUCAGUUCGGAUUGAAGUCUGAAACUCGACUUCAUGAAGCUGGAAUUGCUAGUAAUCGCGCAUCAGCAUGGCGCGGUGAAUACGUUCCCGGGCCUUGUACACACCGCCCGUCACAUCACCCGAGUUGGUUAUACCCGUAGUGUCUGUGCUAACCUUUUAUUAGGAGGCAGGGCCCGAAGGUAUUGUCGGCGAGGGGGAUGAAGUCGUAACAAGGUA